RNAcentral lists this ribosomal RNA (1001 nucleotides) under Salmonella enterica subsp. enterica serovar Typhimurium str. CDC_2009K1283. Its description in RNAcentral is "bacterial LSU rRNA". It matches the Rfam family "Bacterial large subunit ribosomal RNA", at positions 1165 to 2064 of the family's 2925-position model. Lineage: Bacteria; Pseudomonadati; Pseudomonadota; Gammaproteobacteria; Enterobacterales; Enterobacteriaceae. The record is from RNAcentral.
GGAAGAUGUAACGGGGCUAAACCAUGCACCGAAGCUGCGGCAGCGAACGUAUCACCCAAGACAACUUUACGGAGUUGACGAUUGACGGAGCGAAGCGACGUCAAAGCGUUCAUUAAAGUCGAGUUGGCUUAGGGAUACGUUCGUUGGGUAGGGGAGCGUUCUGUAAGCCUGUGAAGGUGUGUCGUGAGGCAUGCUGGAGGUAUCAGAAGUGCGAAUGCUGACAUAAGUAACGAUAAAGCGGGUGAAAAGCCCGCUCGCCGGAAGACCAAGGGUUCCUGUCCAACGUUAAUCGGGGCAGGGUGAGUCGACCCCUAAGGCGAGGCCGAAAGGCGUAGUCGAUGGGAAACGGGUUAAUAUUCCCGUACUUGGUGUUACUGCGAAGGGGGGACGGAGAAGGCUAUGUUGGCCGGGCGACGGUUGUCCCGGUUUAAGCGUGUAGGUGUGUGUUCCAGGUAAAUCCGGUUCACUUUAACACUGAGGCGUGACGACGAGGCACUACGGUGCUGAAGCAACAAAUGCCCUGCUUCCAGGAAAAGCCUCUAAGCAUCAGGUAACAUCAAAUCGUACCCCAAACCGACACAGGUGGUCAGGUAGAGAAUACCAAGGCGCUUGAGAGAACUCGGGUGAAGGAACUAGGCAAAAUGGUGCCGUAACUUCGGGAGAAGGCACGCUGACACGUAGGUGAAGUGAUUUACUCAUGGAGCUGAAGUCAGUCGAAGAUACCAGCUGGCUGCAACUGUUUAUUAAAAACACAGCACUGUGCAAACACGAAAGUGGACGUAUACGGUGUGACGCCUGCCCGGUGCCGGAAGGUUAAUUGAUGGGGUCAGCGCAAGCGAAGCUCCUGAUCGAAGCCCCGGUAAACGGCGGCCGUAACUAUAACGGUCCUAAGGUAGCGAAAUUCCUUGUCGGGUAAGUUCCGACCUGCACGAAUGGCGUAAUGAUGGCCAGGCUGUCUCCACCCGAGACUCAGUGAAAUUGAACUCGCUGUGAAGAUGCAG